CCUACGGGAGGCAGCAGUGAGGAAUAUUGGUCAAUGGGCGGGAGCCUGAACCAGCCAAGUCGCGUGAGGGAAGACGGUCCUAUGGAUUGUAAACCUCUUUAGGCGGGGAGCAAUGCCGGGCACGCGUGCCCGGAGGGAGAGUACCCGCAGAAUACGCAUCGGCUAACUCCGUGCCCGCCGCCGCGGUAAUACGGAGGGUGCGAGCGUUAUCCGGAUUUAGUGGGUUUAGGGGGUGCGUAGGCGGAUUUUUAAGUCAGCGGUAAAGUGUCCGGGCUCAACGCGGGCCGGCCGUUGAAACUGGGGUGCUUGAGUGGGCGAGAAGUAUGCGGAAUGCGUGGUGUAGCGGUGAAAUGCAUAGAUAUCACGCAGAACUCCGAUUGCGAAGGCAGCAUACCGGCGCCCGACUGACGCUGAGGCACGAAAGCGUGGGGAUCGAACAGGAUUAGAUACCCUAGUAGUC
This 460-nucleotide ribosomal RNA is filed under the name uncultured bacterium. Its description in RNAcentral is "partial 16S ribosomal RNA". It matches the Rfam family "Bacterial small subunit ribosomal RNA", at positions 338 to 795 of the family's 1533-position model. The record is from RNAcentral.